Molecule: ribosomal RNA, 443 nt
Filed under: uncultured bacterium
Lineage: Bacteria
Description: partial 16S ribosomal RNA
Rfam family: Bacterial small subunit ribosomal RNA
Source: RNAcentral
CCUACGAGAGGCAGCAGUGGGGAAUAUUGGGCAAUGGACGCACGCCUGACCCAGCAACGCCGCGUGAAGGAAGAAGGCUUUCGGGUUGUAAACUUCUUUUAUCAGGGACGAAGCAAGUGACGGUACCUGAUGAAUAAGCCACUGCGAACUACGUGCCAGCAGCCGCGGUAAUACGUAGGUGCCAAGCGUUAUCCGGAUUUACUGGGGGUAACGGGCGGGUAGGCGGGAGUGCAAGUCAGAUGUGAAAACUAUGGGCUCAACCCAUAGCCUGCAUUUGAAACUGUACGUCUUGAGUGCUGGAGGGGCAAUCGGAAUUCCGUGUGUAGCGGUGAAAUGCGUAGAUAUACGGAGGAACACCAGUGGCGAAGGCGGAUUGCUGGACAGUAACUGACGCUGAGGCGCGAAAGCGUGGGGAGCAAACAGGAUUAGAUACCCCUGUAGUC